AGCCGCCUUCUGCUUUCUAGCCGAGUCGCCCUGCACGCGCGCGAGCCACUUGUCCAAGCCGCCUUCUGCUUUCUAGCCAAGCCACCUAGCCGAUUCGCCUGUCUGUGAGCCGCCAGUCUGCUUUCGGUCCUUUUCACCUAGUUUGGAACAUCUAGGACCAAUUGAUUUUUGGAGCAUGGGAUUUCUCCUGUUAAGGGCUCAAGCGUUGCAACCUCGACCUAAGUAGGACUUCGCUACUGGGAAAGCGUGACUUUGCAGUUAGAACUCGUUGAGAAAAUCUCCAGUUUAUCCUAUUAGAGUCGUACCUGUAUAGGUGUCCUUCGAGAUCACCACCUAUUUAGGACUGCAUAGUUCGACAGGACCGACAGUCUGGCAUUGAUAUAGAUAUGAUUCAAAUGAUUCGACGAGAUCGCUCGCAGCCU
This is a long non-coding RNA of Cucumis melo (muskmelon), 422 nucleotides long. RefSeq lists it as uncharacterized. Lineage: Eukaryota; Viridiplantae; Streptophyta; Magnoliopsida; Cucurbitales; Cucurbitaceae. The transcript is spliced from 4 exons. The record is from RefSeq and is a predicted model, not a curated record.